ACGAAUAACUAUGGUGUUGGUUGUCGCUGGCUCCUAGGAGUAUUGUGCACGCCCGCCAUUUUUAUCUUUCCACCUGUGCACUUAGUGUAGAUCUGGAUACCACUCGCUUUCCCAAGCGGACUCAGAGAUUGCUGUGUCGCAAGACUGGCUCUCUUUGAAUUUCCAGGUCUAUGUCUUUUUUACACACCCCAAUUGAAUGAUAAUGAAUGUUGUCAAUGGGCUUCCAAGCCUAUAAAAACACUAUA
This 245-nucleotide unclassified non-coding RNA is filed under the name uncultured Bolbitiaceae. Its description in RNAcentral is "sequence contains ITS1". The record is from RNAcentral. Lineage: Eukaryota; Fungi; Basidiomycota; Agaricomycetes; Agaricales; Bolbitiaceae.